GGGUUGUGAGGUUAAGCGACUAAGCGUACACGGUGGAUGCCCUGGCAGUCAGAGGCGAUGAAGGGCGUGCUAAUCUGCGAUAAGCGCCGGUAAGGUGAUAUGAACCGUUAUAACCGGCGAUACCCGAAUGGGGAAACCCAGUGUGAUUCGUCACACUAUCAUUAACUGAAUCCAUAGGUUAAUGAGGCGAACCGGGGGAACUGAAACAUCUAAGUACCCCGAGGAAAAGAAAUCAACCGAGAUUCCCCCAGUAGCGGCGAGCGAACGGGGAGGAGCCCAGAGCCUGAAUCAGCAUGUGUGUUAGUGGAAGCGUCUGGAAAGGCGCGCGAUACAGGGUGACAGCCCCGUACACAAAAGCGCAUGUGCUGUGAGCUCGAUGAGUAGGGCGGGACACGUGGUAUCCUGUCUGAAUAUGGGGGGACCAUCCUCCAAGGCUAAAUACUCCUGACUGACCGAUAGUGAACCAGUACCGUGAGGGAAAGGCGAAAAGAACCCCGGCGAGGGGAGUGAAAAAGAACCUGAAACCGUGUACGUACAAGCAGUGGGAGCACCC
Molecule: ribosomal RNA, 553 nt
Filed under: Salmonella enterica
Lineage: Bacteria; Pseudomonadati; Pseudomonadota; Gammaproteobacteria; Enterobacterales; Enterobacteriaceae
Also listed under: 3 other names
Description: partial 23S ribosomal RNA
Rfam family: Bacterial large subunit ribosomal RNA
Source: RNAcentral